This 299-nucleotide long non-coding RNA is filed under the name Gossypium raimondii (Peruvian cotton). RNAcentral describes it as "long non-coding RNA (GRAI_LNC006378)". The record is from RNAcentral. Lineage: Eukaryota; Viridiplantae; Streptophyta; Magnoliopsida; Malvales; Malvaceae.
GAAAAUAGUGUGGCUGUAUAGAUGUGGUUCUUCGGGCAGUAAGCUAGGCUUUUGCAAACUCAAAAUGAAUUUCAAUCGUUUUUUUUAUUUCGAAUAUUUUUUUCUUCUUUUUUUUACACUUUGCUAAAUACAAUAGAAAGCUUUGAACACAAAAUAAUAAUUUUUUUCGAUUUUUUUACAAUCUCGUAAUACCGAUUACAACGAUUCUUACUCUAAUUCAACUAGCUCUGAUACCAACUUGAUAUGCCCUCACCUCGUUUUCGAAUUGAGUCGUAGAGAUUGCCCGAUCGUGAAUUAGG